AAGACUUUAAGUUAAGAGAAACUGAAAGUUUUCAAAGCUUUAAAUGGUAUUAAAUUUAUCAAGUCUUG
Molecule: transfer RNA, 68 nt
Filed under: Prosadenoporus spectaculum
Lineage: Eukaryota; Metazoa; Nemertea; Enopla; Monostilifera; Prosorhochmidae
Description: tRNA-Trp
Source: RNAcentral